This is a long non-coding RNA of Tripterygium wilfordii, 1216 nucleotides long. RefSeq lists it as uncharacterized. The transcript has 2 exons. The record is from RefSeq and is a predicted model, not a curated record. Lineage: Eukaryota; Viridiplantae; Streptophyta; Magnoliopsida; Celastrales; Celastraceae.
UCACACGGCUGUUUUGAUCGGGAAAUCGAAAAAUGGUGGUGUUCGGAUGCCUUAUUGAUAAGAAAUUUUUCUGUGAUGUCGUUGUAUAUGAUAUCGUUGCGUAUGGAUGAUAUCCCCAAGCUGCUGGCGGAGUACAAAUAACUGUAACCAAACUCUGUUUGAAUUAACCAUAGACCAGCUGAAAUAUAAUUAUGAAAACAUUUUAGGUAAACUGGUUUACAUCAAUAUCCCCUUGCUGUAAUAUAUCAUGAGAUAGUGUUGGUGACACUGUUGAUUGAUUAUAUUAUUAUAUAAAUUACAAAAGAAUCUAUUGUAGUUUGCCUUGAUUGUUCUGCUCCAAAAGCUUGAACUAACAAUAGACGGAGCUCUGCACAAAGUGGCGCCUCCAAGUUAUGUUUGCUAGUAGUAGACAUCUCUUGUCACCACAGGAUAAGAAAGACGAAGUAGAAGCCAAAAUAGAGAUCGACAUUGUAUUGACAGCCGCGACAAGUGCACGGGCAAAUUCAAGUCAAGGAAGGACAUUCAAUGUUUCCAUUGCAAAAAGAAGGGCCACAUGAAUUGUCAUUUUUUCAAAAGAGACCAAGAAAAGAGCAAAAUCAAAGGUGAAAGGAGGAGGCUGUAGCUGAAGGUGACAGUUAUUGUUUGUGACGAUGGUUGUUUUAGCCUCACAUGCCAAGAUAGUAGCAGUUGGUCAUGGACUCAUGUGCCUCAUUUCAUGUAACCUCAAAUGUUGCUGAAAGAUGUGAACCUCAUUCUAAUUUCCAUUGGCAAGCUAAGCUUGAUGAUGAAGGUUAUAAGAAUCACUUUAGUGAUGGCAGGUGGGCUCUGACUAAGCAUUGGGUUCCUUAGUGAUUGGCAGAGGAAAGAAAGCAAAUUCUCUUUGUGUUCUGAAAAGGUAGAAGUUAACACAUUUGAAGAUGCCUCUGUUGAAAUUUGGCAGUGAGAAGGGAUUUCAGAUGCUAUGCAGACUUGUACUCAUUGUUUGGCUGAAAAGCAUAAAAUUACAUUAAUUCGGAUAUUUCAGACAUUUCCUCCAUCAAGAAAGUCAAACUUACUGGACUCGGUUCACACUGUUGUCCGCUACAUUAAGGAGAAUACUCUUGGUGAUUAUCUAUGUUGUGUUACCUUAGACAUUUCCCCCACCAAGAAAGUUAAACUUACUAAACUUGGUUCACACUGUUGUCUGCUACAUUAAGGAGAAUACUCUUGGUGGUUA